GAUGUUCCCGUCUCAUCACCCUUUGUGAACAUACCUUAACUGUUGCUUCGGCGGGUAGGCGUCCCCUAAAAAGGACGUCUCCCGGCCCUCUCCCGUCCGCGGGUGGGGCGCCCGCCUGAGGAUAACCAAACUCUGAUUUAACGACGUUUCUUCUGAGUGACACAAGCAAAUAAUCAAAACUUUUAACAACGGAUCUCUUGGUUCUGGCAUCGAUGAAGAACGCAGCGAAAUGCGAUAAGUAAUGUGAAUUGCAGAAUUCAGUGAAUCAUCGAAUCUUUGAACGCACAUUGCGCCCGCCAGCAUUCUGGCGGGCAUGCCUGUUCGAGCGUCAUUUCAACCCUCAAGCUCUGCUUGGUGUUGGGGCUCUACGGUUGACGUAGGCCCUUAAAGGUAGUGGCGGACCCUCUCGGAGCCUCCUUUGCGUAGUAACAUUUCGUCUCGCAUUGGGAUUCGGAGGGACUCUAGCCGUAAAACCCCCAAUUUUACUAAGGUUGACCUCGGAUCAGGUAGGAAUACCCGCUGAACUUAAGCAUAUCAAUAAGCGGA
Molecule: ribosomal RNA, 546 nt
Rfam family: 5.8S ribosomal RNA (bases 178-331)